This 424-nucleotide ribosomal RNA is filed under the name uncultured bacterium. RNAcentral's name for it is "bacterial SSU rRNA". It matches the Rfam family "Bacterial small subunit ribosomal RNA", at positions 355 to 776 of the family's 1533-position model. The record is from RNAcentral.
UAAGGAAUAUUGGUCAAUGGGCGAGAGCCUGAACCAGCCAUGCCGCGUGCAGGAAGACGGCCUUAUGGGUUGUAAACUGCUUUUGUCGGGGAAUAAAUCUUUCUACGAGUAGAGAGUUGAAGGUACCCGAAGAAUAAGCAUCGGCUAACUCCGUGCCAGCAGCCGCGGUAAUACGGAGGAUGCAAGCGUUAUCCGGAUUCAUUGGGUUUAAAGGGUGCGCAGGCGGAUUAUUAAGUCAGUGGUGAAAUGUAACGGCUCAACUGUUAAGCUGCCAUUGAUACUGAUAGUCUAGAGUAUAGUUGAAGUGGGCGGAAUGUGUCAUGUAGCGGUGAAAUGCUUAGAUAUGACACAGAACACCGAUCGCGAAGGCAGCUCACUAAACUAAAACUGACGCUCAUGCACGAAAGCGUGGGGAUCAAACAGG